UUAAUAGGGCGUUUAGUUGCUGGGUGUAGACCCGAAACCAGGCGAUCUAUCCAUGAGCAGGUUGAAGGUUGGGUAACACUAACUGGAGGACCGAACCCACUGUCGUUGAAAAGCCAGGGGAUGACUUGUGGAUAGGGGUGAAAGGCUAAUCAAGCCUGGUGAUAGCUGGUUCUCCCCGAAAGCUAUUUAGGUAGCGCCUCGGACGAAUACCAUUGGGGGUAGAGCACUGUUUCGGCUAGGGGGUCAUCCCGACUUACCAAACCGAUGCAAACUCCGAAUACCGAAGAGUGUUAUCCGGGAGACAGACGGCGGGUGCUAACGUCCGUCGUCAAGAGGGAAACAACCCAGACCGCCAGCUAAGGUCCCAAAGUCAUGGUUAAGUGGGAAACGAUGUGGGAAGGCCCAGACAGCCAGGAUGUUGGCUUAGAAGCAGCCAUCAUUUAAAGAAAGCGUAAUAGCUCACUGAUCGAGUCGUCCUGCGCGGAAGAUGUAACGGGGCUAAGCCAGUUACCGAAGCUGCGGAUGUGCAAUUUAUUGCACGUGGUAGGAGAGCGUUCUGUAAGCCUGUGAAGGUGUCUGGUAACGGAUGCUGGAGGUAUCAGAAGUGCGAAUGCUGACAUGAGUAACGACAAAACGGGUGAAAAACCCGUUCGCUGAAAGACCAAGGGUUCCAGUUCAACGUUAAUCGGGGCUGGGUGAGUCGACCCCUAAGGCGAGGCCGAGAGGCGUAGUCGAUGGGAAAUUGGUUAAUAUUCCAAUACUUCUGUGUAAUGCGAUGAGAGGACGGAGAAGGUUAAGUCAGCCUGGCGUUGGUUGUCCAGGUGGAAGGUUGUAGGCAUGUAUCUUAGGCAAAUCCGGGGUACUCUAUGCUGAGAACUGAUAGCAAGCUGUACUUGUACAGUGAAGUGGCUGAUACCAUGCUUCCAGGAAAAGUCUCUAAGCUUCAGUUACACAGGAAUCGUACCCGAAACCGACACAGGUGGUCAGGUCGAGUAGACCAAAGCGCUUGAGAGAACUCUGCUGAAGGAACUAGGCAAAAUGGUACCGUAACUUCGGGAGAAGGUACGCUGCUGACGGUGAUGGGACUUGCUCCCUGAGCGGUUGGCAGCCGCAGAAACCAGGCCGCUGCAACUGUUUAUUAAAAACAUAGCACUCUGCAAACACGAAAGUGGACGUAUAGGGUGUGAUGCCUGCCCGGUGCUGGAAGGUUAAUUGAUGGGGUUAGCGUAAGCGAAGCUCUUGAUCGAAGCCCCAGUAAACGGCGGCCGUAACUAUAACGGUCCUAAGGUAGCGAAAUUCCUUGUCGGGUAAGUUCCGACCUGCACGAAUGGCGUAACGAUGGCCACACUGUCUCCUCCUGAGACUCAGCGAAGUUGAAAUGUUUGUGAUGAUGCAAUCUCCCCGCGGAAAGACGGAAAGACCCCAUGAACCUUUACUGUAGCUUUGUAUUGGACUUUGAACGGAUCUGUGUAGGAUAGGUGGGAGGCUUUGAAGUGAGGUCGCUAGAUCUCAUGGAGCCAACGUUGAAAUACCACCCUGGUGCGUUUGAGGUUCUAACCUAGGUCCAUUAGCUGGAUCGGGGACAGUGCAUGGUAGGCAGUUUGACUGGGGCGGUCUCCUCCCAAAGCGUAACGGAGGAGUUCGAAGGUACGCUAGUUACGGUCGGACAUCGUGACGAUAGUGCAAUGGCAUAAGCGUGCUUAACUGCGAGACUGACAAGUCGAGCAGAUGCGAAAGCAGGACAUAGUGAUCCGGUGGUUCUGUAUGGAAGGGCCAUCGCUCAACGGAUAAAAGGUACUCUGGGGAUAACAGGCUGAUACCGCCCAAGAGUUCAUAUCGACGGCGGUGUUUGGCACCUCGAUGUCGGCUCAUCUCAUCCUGGGGCUGUAGUCGGUCCCAAGGGUAUGGCUGUUCGCCAUUUAAAGAGGUACGUGAGCUGGGUUUAAAACGUCGUGAGACAGUUUGGUCCCUAUCUUCCGUGGGCGCUGCAGAUUUGAGGAAGCCUGCUCCUAGUACGAGAGGACCGGAGUGGACACACCUCUGGUGUAUCGGUUGUCACGCCAGUGGCAUUGCCGAGUAGCUAAGUGUGGAAGAGAUAACCGCUGAAAGCAUCUAAGCGGGAAACUCGUUUCAAGAUGAGAUCUGCCGGGGCCUUGAGCCCCCUGAAGGGUCGUUGUAGACCACGACGUUGAUAGGCUGGGUGUGGAAGUGCAGCAAUGCAUUAAGCUAACCAGUACUAAUUGCCCGUGCGGCUUGACCCU
RNAcentral lists this ribosomal RNA (2261 nucleotides) under Cyclospora cayetanensis. RNAcentral's name for it is "bacterial LSU rRNA". It matches the Rfam family "Bacterial large subunit ribosomal RNA", at positions 684 to 2925 of the family's 2925-position model. The record is from RNAcentral. Lineage: Eukaryota; Apicomplexa; Conoidasida; Eucoccidiorida; Eimeriidae.